This 468-nucleotide ribosomal RNA is filed under the name uncultured bacterium. Its description in RNAcentral is "partial 16S ribosomal RNA". It matches the Rfam family "Bacterial small subunit ribosomal RNA", at positions 28 to 507 of the family's 1533-position model. The record is from RNAcentral.
GACGAACGCUGGCGGCGUGCUUAACACAUGCAAGUCGAACGGAAAGGCCCUGCUUUUGUGGGGUGCUCGAGUGGCGAACGGGUGGGUAACACGUGAGUAACCUGCCCUUGACUUUGGGAUAACUUCAGGAAACUGGGGCUAAUACCGGAUAGGAGCUCCUGCUGCAUGGUGGGGGUGGGAAAGUUUCGGCGGUUGGGGAUGAACUCGCGGCUUAUCAGCUUGUUGGUGGGGUAGUGGCUUACCAAGGCUUUGACGGGUAGCGGGCCUGAGUGGGUGACCAGCCACAUUGGGACUGAGAUACGGCCCAGACUCCUACGGGAGGCAGCAGUGGGGAAUAUUGCACAAUGGGCGGGAGCCUGAUGCAGCAACUCCGCGUGCGGGAUGACGGCCUUCGGGUUGUAAACCGCUUUCGCCUGUGACGAAGCGUGAGUGACGGUAAUGGGUAAAGAAGCACCGGCUAACUACGUG